Long non-coding RNA from Corticium candelabrum, 1697 nucleotides. RefSeq lists it as uncharacterized. The transcript has 2 exons. The record is from RefSeq and is a predicted model, not a curated record. Lineage: Eukaryota; Metazoa; Porifera; Homoscleromorpha; Homosclerophorida; Plakinidae.
GCCUUGCCAUUGCUACAUUGUUGGAGUAGAGUGGCUGCUAUACAAGUGACGACAUUUGGAAGAUUCGCAGAGCUUUGUAAGAAACAUUGUCGAGCAAAGUCAACUUUUCGCCUUGCACGUACAGUAUACUGUACACGUGGUCCACCAAAUGACAUAGCAACAAGCGGAGAAACACGCGGCGAAGCAAGUGCAAAAGUGAUGACGUCGUCUGGACAGCGUUGUGCGUGAAAUAACGGCUCGGCGCUGGUGCUGUCGUACAUAUUCAAGUGUGGUGUAUCACCAAUAGUGGUAGCUAUUCCAAGAAGAAUUUCGGUGUUGUUUUUGUCAGACUGACGGUUUUGCUGAACAGAGCAAUUGUAAAUAACGACGGGAGUUCGGCUAUGGUGAUACUGUUAAAGUGAAGUUUGUUGUUCUCUACGGAAUCCAACAAUUCGGACGUUGUUGCGUUUGGUGUCUGCUAGUUGUCCAUCGAAGUAUUGUUUCAGGGUUUUCGUGCUUGUCUUCAUUGGUGAAAUAGCUGUGACGAAUCCGUGAACAGUUGUUUGUCCUUGAGAUGUCGUUAGUUGAUCGAAAUAGAAAUAUUCGUCAGAUGUAUCAGCUGCGGCGCGUUUCCGUGAAGUAACUGAUUGCAAAUGGUUAGUUGCCAUCCUUCAAAAACGAAUCUAGCAGUUCAGAGAACGAGUAGGUCUAGGCAAAUAAAUUCUAGUCGUGUGCAUCGCAUUUGUAGACGUAGUUUAGGUAUAGACAGACGUAAUAGAUGAGAAAAGCAAUGAGACUGUUGUCGAGUAAAGUAACACUAGUGAAGACAGUGCCAUAACAGGUGUUGCUACUUGAGACAUGUUUUCAUAAACAUUGUUGUCAACUUGCAAUUGCAUAUUUGGACGUGAAUGUUGUGUAACAGUUUUGUCGGUUUGUAAGUAUCUCACGGUCACAGACUGAUUACGAUUUUGUCGUCUGACAUUGUUCGUGAUUAUGCAGUGUAGUUGUAGAACGGUAGCAAUUGACAAAGAAACCGAGCACCGUUUUAGACAGAAUUUGAGAACGGCACGCAGAAAGAGGCUAGACAGUGUCUAGAGGUUAGACAGUGUCUAGAAAGGUUUGUGUGUACAAAAGGAAUGGAUUUACUGUCAGGUAGCUAGAUCAAAGUGUCAAUUUACGAUGUCGUUUGUGAGUAGAAUGUUUUCCGUAGAAGCUGGGAAAGUAAUAAGAAAGAGCAAGAAGUGGCUAAGAGAGCACGGACAGUCCGUUUGGGCAGACGUGCAAAUUGCUAUCGAAAGUUUACGUUUGAUUACUACGUAUGGGAUGCGAUCAAUUGUGUAACGGUUAGAGUUAGAUGACUUCCAUUAUCAAAUUUGUGUCUUUCUAUACAGACGGGAAUCGAUGAAACGCCUCGGAUUGAAAUCAUAGGAGGAUUUUUUCAAUGGAAAAGACCAGAAGUCGGUGUACGUGGACCUAAAGAAAAAACGGAAAAUUAUCAGAAAGCCGACAAAAGCCUGCAUAGUUUUCUUAUUUGCAAGACUCAUGGAAUUGCUGAGUUUAGUAGAUUUACAGGCUAGCUGGUUGGAGGAAAAUAGAGAGUAAACUUGUUGUUGGAGAGAAUAUGUUGUGUUGUGUUGCUUUUUUGGACGGUACAUGUAAUGCAUAUGUAUUUAAGUUAGCUGUAUAUACGAAAAUGAGUAUAUUGGGUUCUAUGCAAA